CCAGACUCCUACGGGAGGCAGCAGUGGGGAAUAUUGCACAAUGGGGGAAACCCUGAUGCAGCAACGCCGCGUGAGUGAAGAAGUAUUUCGGUAUGUAAAGCUCUAUCAGCAGGGAAGAAAAUGACGGUACCUGACUAAGAAGCUCCGGCUAAAUACGUGCCAGCAGCCGCGGUAAUACGUAGGGGGCAAGCGUUAUCCGGAAUUAUUGGGCGUAAAGGGCGCGUAGGUGGGUGCUUAAGUCAGGUGUGAAAACUCUGGGCUCAACCUGGAGACUGCACUUGAAACUGGGUAUCUUGAGGGCAGGAGAGGAAAGUGGAAUUCCUAGUGUAGCGGUGAAAUGCGUAGAUAUUAGGAGGAACACCAGUGGCGAAGGCGACGUUCUGGACGUUACCUGACGCUGAGGCGCGAAAGCGUGGGUAGCGAACGGGAUUAGAUACCCCGGUAGAG
This 447-nucleotide ribosomal RNA is filed under the name uncultured bacterium. RNAcentral's name for it is "bacterial SSU rRNA". It matches the Rfam family "Bacterial small subunit ribosomal RNA", at positions 331 to 793 of the family's 1533-position model. The record is from RNAcentral.